RNAcentral lists this ribosomal RNA (878 nucleotides) under Flavobacterium sp. RNAcentral describes it as "bacterial SSU rRNA". It matches the Rfam family "Bacterial small subunit ribosomal RNA", at positions 69 to 963 of the family's 1533-position model. The record is from RNAcentral. Lineage: Bacteria; Pseudomonadati; Bacteroidota; Flavobacteriia; Flavobacteriales; Flavobacteriaceae.
GUAUAUUUCUUCGGAGAUAGAGACCGCGCGCACGGGUGCGUAACGCGUAUGCAAUCUACCUUUCACAGAGGGAUAGCCCAGAGAAAUUUGGAUUAAUACCUCAUAGUAUAGUGAUACCGCAUGGUACUACUAUUAAAGUCACAACGGUGAAAGAUGAGCAUGCGUCCCAUUAGCUAGUUGGUAAGGUAACGGCUUACCAAGGCUACGAUGGGUAGGGGUCCUGAGAGGGAGAUCCCCCACACUGGUACUGAGACACGGACCAGACUCCUACGGGAGGCAGCAGUGAGGAAUAUUGGACAAUGGGCGCAAGCCUGAUCCAGCCAUGCCGCGUGCAGGAUGACGGUCCUAUGGAUUGUAAACUGCUUUUGCACAGGAAGAAACAACUCUACGUGUAGAGUCUUGACGGUACUGUGAGAAUAAGGAUCGGCUAACUCCGUGCCAGCAGCCGCGGUAAUACGGAGGAUCCAAGCGUUAUCCGGAAUCAUUGGGUUUAAAGGGUCCGUAGGCGGUUUAGUAAGUCAGUGGUGAAAGCCCAUCGCUCAACGGUGGAACGGCCAUUGAUACUGCUAGACUUGAAUUAUUAGGAAGUAACUAGAAUAUGUAGUGUAGCGGUGAAAUGCUUAGAGAUUACAUGGAAUACCAAUUGCGAAGGCAGGUUACUACUAAUNGAUUGACGCUGAUGGACGAAAGCGUGGGUAGCGAACAGGAUUAGAUACCCUGGUAGUCCACGCCGUAAACGAUGGAUACUAGCUGUUGGGAGCGAUCUCAGUGGCUAAGCGAAAGUGAUAAGUAUCCCCCUGGGGAGUACGUUCGCAGANUGAACUCAAGGAUUGACGGGGCCCNCCANCGGNGANCNUGNGNUUAUUCNAGNACCCGAG